Molecule: ribosomal RNA, 226 nt
Filed under: uncultured bacterium
Lineage: Bacteria
Description: partial 16S ribosomal RNA
Rfam family: Bacterial small subunit ribosomal RNA
Source: RNAcentral
CCGACCCUUACGGAUGGGGGAGUAGCCAGCCCAACGGCUGGGUAAUACCGCAUACGCUUCUUCCGGGGCAUCCUGGGGGAAGGAAAGCGCUCGAGGCAACUCGAGCGCGUCCGAGGACGGGCUCGCGGCCUAUCAGCUAGUUGGUGGGGUGAUGGCUCACCAAGGCGACGACGGGUAGCUGGUCUGAGAGGAUGGCCAGCCACAUUGGGACUGAGAGACGGCCCAG